This 815-nucleotide ribosomal RNA is filed under the name uncultured organism. Its description in RNAcentral is "bacterial SSU rRNA". It matches the Rfam family "Bacterial small subunit ribosomal RNA", at positions 23 to 882 of the family's 1533-position model. The record is from RNAcentral.
CUCAGGAUGAACGCUGGCGGUCUGCUUAACACAUGCAAGUCGAACGGGCUCUUCGGAGCUAGUGGCGGACGGGUGAGUAACGCGUGAGAAUCUGCCUUCAGGAGGGGGAUAACGACUGGAAACGGUCGCUAAUACCCCAUAUGCCUCCGGGUGAAAAGUAAUUCGCCUGAAGAUGAGCUCGCGUCAGAUUAGCUAGUUGGUGGGGUAAGAGCCUACCAAGGCGACGAUCUGUAGCUGGUCUGAGAGGAUGAUCAGCCACACUGGGACUGAGACACGGCCCAGACUCCUACGGGAGGCAGCAGUGGGGAAUUUUCCGCAAUGGGCGCAAGCCUGACGGAGCAAGACCGCGUGGGGGAUGACGGCCUAAUGGUUGUAAACCCCUUUUCUCUGGGAAGAAGACUGACGGUACCAGAGGAAUCAGCCUCGGCUAACUCCGUGCCAGCAGCCGCGGUAAUACGGAGGAGGCAAGCGUUAUCCGGAAUUAUUGGGCGUAAAGCGUCCGUAGGUGGUUAUUCAAGUCUGCUGUCAAAGCGUGGGGCUUAACUCCAUAGAGGCAGUGGAAACUGAGUGACUAGAGUGCGGUAGGGGUCGAGGGAAUUCCCAGUGUAGCGGUGAAAUGCGUAGAUAUUGGGAAGAACACCAGUGGCGAAAGCGCUCGACUGGGCCUGCACUGACACUGAGGGACGAAAGCUAGGGGAGCGAAAGGGAUUAGAUACCCCUGUAGUCCUAGCCGUAAACGAUGGAUACUAGGUGUUGCUCGUCAUCGAGCCGAGCAGUGCCGUAGCCAACGCGUUAAGUAUCCCGACUGGGGAGUA